RNAcentral lists this ribosomal RNA (506 nucleotides) under uncultured bacterium. RNAcentral describes it as "partial 16S ribosomal RNA". It matches the Rfam family "Bacterial small subunit ribosomal RNA", at positions 28 to 523 of the family's 1533-position model. The record is from RNAcentral.
GAUGAACGCUAGCUACAGGCUUAACACAUGCAAGUCGAGGGGUAACGAGAGGAAAGCUUGCUUUCCUUGUCGACGACCGGCGCACGGGUGAGUAACGCGUAUCCAACCUGCCCCCAACUAGGGAAUAACCUUGCGAAAGUAAGACUAAUACCCUAUAAUUUCCUCAGAUGCCAUCUGACGAGGAAUAAAGAUUUAUCGGUUGUGGAUGGGGAUGCGUCUGAUUAGCUUGUUGGCGGGGUAACGGCCCACCAAGGCAACGAUCAGUAGGGGUUCGGAGAGGAAGGUCCCCCACAUUGGAACUGAGACACGGUCCAAACUCCUACGGGAGGCAGCAGUGAGGAAUAUUGGUCAAUGGGCGGAAGCCUGAACCAGCCAAGUAGCGUGCAGGAUGACGGCCCUAUGGGUUGUAAACUGCUUUUAUACAGGAAUAAAGUUAGCCACGUGUGGUUAUUUGUAGGUACUGUAUGAAUAAGGACCGGCUAAUUCCGUGCCAGCAGCCGCCGUAA